RNAcentral lists this non-coding RNA (82 nucleotides) under Dietzia timorensis. Lineage: Bacteria; Bacillati; Actinomycetota; Actinomycetes; Mycobacteriales; Dietziaceae. The record is from RNAcentral.
CAGGAAUCCGGUGGAAAUCCGGAACGGUCGCGCCACUGUAAGCGGAAGCCGGAACUCGACGGCCCCGUAAGUCAGGAGACUG